GUUUUUUUAGUAUAACUAGUACAGGUGACUUCCAAUCACCUAGUCUCAGUUUAAAUCUGGGAUAAAAUA
Molecule: transfer RNA, 69 nt
Filed under: Amolops spinapectoralis
Lineage: Eukaryota; Metazoa; Chordata; Amphibia; Anura; Ranidae
Description: tRNA-Gly
Rfam family: tRNA
About the family: Transfer RNA (tRNA) molecules are approximately 80 nucleotides in length. Their secondary structure includes four short double-helical elements and three loops (D, anti-codon, and T loops).
Source: RNAcentral